UAGGGAAUAUUAGAAAUGGACGAAAGUCUGAUCUAGCAACACCGCGUGUGCGAAGAAGGCCUUCGGGUUGUAAAGCACUUUUUGAGAGGAUGAGGAAGGACGGUACUCUCAGAAUAAGUCUCGGCUAACUACGUGCCAGCAGCCGCGGUAACACGUAGGAGGCAAACGUUAUCCGGAUUUACUGGGCGUAAAGCGCGUGUAGGUGGUUUGGUAAGUAGAGCGUGAAAGCUCCUGGCUCAACUGGGAGAGGUCGUUCUAAACUGCCGGACUAGAGGAUGGUAGAGGGAGGUGGAAUUCCGGGUGUAGCGGUGGAAUGCGCAGAUAUCCGGAGGAACACCAGUGGCGAAAGCGGCCUCCUGGCUCAUAACUGACGCUCAGACGCGAAAGCUAGGGUAGCAAACG
This 402-nucleotide ribosomal RNA is filed under the name uncultured prokaryote. RNAcentral's name for it is "bacterial SSU rRNA". It matches the Rfam family "Bacterial small subunit ribosomal RNA", at positions 355 to 774 of the family's 1533-position model. The record is from RNAcentral.